UUGAAGCUGUGAAGAUGUCCAAGAAGGCAGGUUGGGGUGUAAUGACCAGUCACCGCAGUGGAGAAACAGAAGAUACCUUCAUUGCUGAUCUUGCUGUCGGUUUGUCAACGGGACAAAUCAAGACUGGAGCUCCUUGCAGGUCAGAGCGUCUCGCCAAGUACAACCAGCUGUUGAGGAUCGAAGAGGAACUCGGAUCAGAGGCUGUUUAUGCAGGAGCAAGCUUCCGCAAGCCCGUUGAGCCCUACUAAAUUUCAGCAGUUCCAAGUGUUGAGAUUGUUGAGUUGUUGAUCUGCCAAAAAUAAAUUCCUCUUAGAUUGGUCAUUUUAGGAUUAUAUUAUAUGACCUUGGUGAAAUAACAAGCAGACUCAAAAACAAGUUUUGUUUUCUGAGGUUUUAUUAGUAUUUUGAAUUCUGAAAAGAAAAAAAAAGAGUUUUUUUUAGGCUUGGUUACUGUAAAACUUUGAUAUGCAAGUUUGUACUAUGUUCUAAUUAAUAUUUUG
RNAcentral lists this unclassified non-coding RNA (500 nucleotides) under Hevea brasiliensis (rubber tree). Lineage: Eukaryota; Viridiplantae; Streptophyta; Magnoliopsida; Malpighiales; Euphorbiaceae. The record is from RNAcentral.